UACCAGCUCUCCGAGUGGUAGGGAUGUUUAUUGGGCUUAAAGCGUCCGUAGCCGGCUUAGCAAGUCUCCUGUUAAAUUCAGCGACCUAAUCGUUGAGCCGCGGGAGAUACUACUAGGCUAGGAGGCGGGAGAGGUCAACGGUACUUCCGGGGUAGGGGUGAAAUCCUGUAAUCCCGGGAGGACCACCAGUGGCGAAGGCUGUUGACUAGAACGCGCUCGACGGUGAGGGACGAAAGCUGGGGGGAGCGAACCGGAUUAGAUACCCGGGUAGUCCCAGCUGUAAACGAUGCGAGCUAGGUGUUGGGGUGGCUACGUGCCACUUCAGUGCCGCAGGGAAGCCAUUAAGCUCGCCGCCUGGGGAGUACGGCCGCAAGGCUAGAAACUUAAAGGAAUUGGCGGGGGAGCACCACAAGGCGUGAAGCUUGCGGUUC
This 431-nucleotide ribosomal RNA is filed under the name uncultured archaeon. RNAcentral's name for it is "bacterial SSU rRNA". It matches the Rfam family "Archaeal small subunit ribosomal RNA", at positions 474 to 903 of the family's 1478-position model. The record is from RNAcentral.